RNAcentral lists this ribosomal RNA (1454 nucleotides) under Clostridioides difficile P42. RNAcentral describes it as "partial 16S ribosomal RNA". The stretch from base 1 to 297 matches the Rfam family "Bacterial large subunit ribosomal RNA", at positions 2625 to 2925 of the family's 2925-position model. The record is from RNAcentral. Lineage: Bacteria; Bacillati; Bacillota; Clostridia; Peptostreptococcales; Peptostreptococcaceae.
GACAGUUCGGUCCCUAUCCGUCGCAGGCGUAGGAAAUUUGAGAAGACCUGUCCUUAGUACGAGAGGACCGGGAUGGACGUACCUCUGGUGUACCAGUUGUCCUGCCAAGGGCAUGGCUGGGUAGCUAUGUACGGAAUGGAUAAGCGCUGAAAGCAUCUAAGCGCGAAGCCAACUUCAAGAUAAGAUUUCCCACCGCAAGGGUAAGACCCCAGAAAGACUAUCUGGUUGAUAGGUCGAAGGUGUAAGUGCAGCAAUGUAUUUAGCUUAUCGAUACUAAUAGGUCGAGGACUUGACCAAUAUUUAUUUGAUGUUCAUUCAUUAAGAUAUAUGUGUAGUUUUUAGAGUGUUAACUUUUAAAAAUUAGUUUUACUAAUUUACAAUAAAAUAGGUGUGCUGGUGUGGCUCAACGGUAGAGCAGCUGACUUGUAAUCAGCAGGUUGUAGGUUCGAUUCCUAUCACCAGCUCCAGUAAAGACUAUGUUUUUAGCAUAGUCUUUUUUUAUUGUUUUUUAUUGUUUGAUGUAUUUGUUAUUUUGUAUUAAAUACUUUUAGUGGUCUAAUUUAUAAAUUAUAGGUAUAAAAGAUGACACAGUUUAAAAUUAUUGUUUUAAACUGUGUUUGUGAGUUUUAAAUCAAUCUACCAUGAAUCACCAUUCUGGCAUCAUCAAAUUCAUAUGUACAUGUAGAAAGUGUAACUAUUUUAUCAUUGCUAUUUACCUUAAUAGGAGAUUUAUACAAUGAUUUAGAAGUAAUAUCAUUUAUGUAAUUUUGAUAAUCAGAUUCAUUGUUAAAAUUUGUUUUUAGAUAAUCAUAAUCAGAUUCUACAAUAUAAGCAGAAAAAACAUCAUAUAAAAAUUCUUUUCCAUUCAAGGUUAUUUUUAUUUUAUUAUUUUUUUUAAAGAAGUCAGCAUCUUUAAACUUAUUUAGGUUGUUGAACAUAGUUUUAUUUUUCAUAUUAUGUCCAUAUAUUAUGAUAUUUUUGUCAUCAAUAGAUUUAUUUCUAUAAUCCAUAAACAGUGUACCAGAAAUAGAAUCUUUUUUAUAAAAAUCUUUGUCAAGAUAGUAAGAAUUAUCUUUAGAUUGUACAACUGGAUAAUUUAUAUUUGUAUUCUCAACAGAAAGCCAAAAUUUAAAAUCACUGUUAAUCUUUGAUAAAUCCUCUUUUUUAUAUUCUUUUUUUUGAAGUUCUGAGGAUAUUUUAGUAUCAUGAUUGUAUUUGGUAAGUUUUGAGUAUAUAUUAAAUCCACUGUAAAGUAUUACUAAUACUAGUAUAAUGUUAAUUACUAUUCUAUAUAAUUUUUUCAAUAUAUCACCUCGAGUUAAAUGUAGUUUAUAUAUCUAUAUUACACUAUUUUUGAAUAAAUUUAAAUUUUUAGUAUAAUAUUACUUUGACAUGUAAAAGAAUUUGUGUUAACAUAACUAAGUAAAAUAAAUAUUAAGUAAGCCAGAUAAUCG